GUUUCCUAUACACUUCAGUAGGUGGGAGAGAGGAGAGGCUGUGUCUACACUCAGUGUUGUGACCUAUGAACUACGAUUGAUUUGUAGCCUAACAUU
This 96-nucleotide small nucleolar RNA is filed under the name Meriones unguiculatus (Mongolian gerbil). Its description in RNAcentral is "Small nucleolar RNA SNORA17 (ENSMUGG00000018378.1)". It matches the Rfam family "Small nucleolar RNA SNORA17", at positions 34 to 132 of the family's 132-position model. Rfam says of the family: snoRNA ACA 17 belongs to the H/ACA family of snoRNAs and is predicted to guide pseudouridylation of the 28S rRNA at positions U4659 and U4598. It shares the same host gene together with ACA43. The record is from RNAcentral. Lineage: Eukaryota; Metazoa; Chordata; Mammalia; Rodentia; Muridae.